Molecule: long non-coding RNA, 2623 nt
Organism: Oncorhynchus gorbuscha (pink salmon)
Lineage: Eukaryota; Metazoa; Chordata; Actinopteri; Salmoniformes; Salmonidae
Exons: 3
Source: RefSeq, a predicted model, not a curated record
UUGAAGCAUGUGGGGACAGCAGACUGAGAUAGGGAGAGAUUGAAUAUGCCCGUAAACACGCUGCUAGGGAUGCCGUCUGGGUCGGCAGCCUUGAGUUCUCUCUCUUUUUUUGUCUCUCACAGAUUCUAGAAUAGCACUCCGCUUCCUCCGUGUUGUUGGGGUUUGCCUGUACAUUUAUGUACGACUGACAGAGGGGUUUGUGUGUUAUUGUGAUCGAGUGCAGCAUUUGUUUGUGUGUCUGCUACCUGUUCUCUGUUUGUUUGCUUGUGUGUAGGAGUGAGUGUGCAAGGAACAUUUGUUAUGUGUGUGAGUUUGUCUCCUCCACCAUACAGCGUCUCAGUCGCCUCCAGAAGGCAUCACGGUAAGACGGCCUCACGGAGUGCACAGAUGGUUAUGAGUGGGCUGUUCAGAGUCAGCACUGUAAAGAAGGCUGCCGGUGGGAGAUGAAGUGUUUUAACCACUAUAGCGGCUACCUGUGUCUCCCACGCUCUGCCUCUGUCAUCACCGCCCCUGAACCCUCCAGCCGGUCAGUGGCCACCCUGCCUGUGGAGUCUUUCGAGGCCUUUAGAUUGAGUCAUCUGUGGAUCUGUUGGGGCGGUAUGCAAAUUGGAGUGGGUCCAGGCUGUCUGAGAUGAUGGUGUUGAUGUGAGCUAUGAUCAUCCUUUCAAAGCAUUUCAUGGCAACAGAUGUGUGUACUACGGGCCGAUAGUAAUUUAGACAGGUUACCUUGGCGUUCUUGGGCAUAUGUACUAUGGUGGUCUGCUUGAAACAUGUAGGUAUUACAGACUGGGUCAGGGAGAGGUUGAAAAUGUCAUUGAAGACACUUGUCAGCUGGUCAUCGCAUGCACUGAGUACAUGCCCUAGUAGUCUGUCUGUCCCUGCAGCCUUGUGAAUGUUAACCUGUUUCAGUGUUGCUUGCUUUGAAGCGAGUAUAGAUGGCAUUUAGCUCAUCUAGAAAGCUUGUGUCACUGGGCAGCUCGCUGCUGGGUUUCCCUUUUUAAUUUGUGAUAGUUUGCAAGCCCUGCCAUAUCUGACGAGCAUCAGAGCCAGGAUAGUAGUCCUGUAUUGACGGUUUGCCUGUUGGAUGGUUUCACGGAGGGUGUAUCAGGAUUUCUUAUAAGCGUGGGUUAGUGUCAUGCUUCUUGUAAGCGGCAGCUCUUUAACUCAGUGUGGAUGUUCCCUGUAAUCCAUGGCUUCUGGUUGGGAUAUGGACAUACGGUCACUGUGGGGACGAUGUCAUCGAUGUACUUAUUAUUGAAACCGGGGACUGAUGUGGUAAACUCCUCAAUGCCAUCGGAUGAGUCCCGGAACCUAUUCCAGUCUGUACGAGCAAAACAGUCCUGUUGAUUAGAGUCUGCAUCAUCUGACCACCUCCGUAUUGAGCGCGUCACUGUUACUGUUUGAGUUUUUGCAUGUAAGCAGGAAUCGGAAGGAUAGAGUUAUGGUUAGAUUUGCCAAAUAGCGGGUGAGGGAGAACUUUGAAUGCGUCUGUGUGCGCAGUAAACACGAUCUAUAGUUUUUUUCAGCCUCUAGUUGCACAGGUGACAUGCCAGUAGAAAUGUAAAUAUCUAGAUUGUCUAGAUGUCUGCAUGUUACACAAAAAGACCUAUCAAGGCCUAACAUCUAAUACUGCCUACUACAGUAGUAGGGGAACAAAUAUGACUGCUUUUGAAGACAGAAUACUGAGUUAAAAUGAUUCAGUCCUGCACAUACAUAUACUACCACUACACCUCCCACUACCCUUUCCCAGGAAACGAACAACAUCAGUGUGAUGAUGGGCCAGGCCCGUGCUGUGACCGGCCCCGAAGAGUACAACCUGGAGCUGGUGUCUGUCAACCCCCUCAUGAUCUAUCAGACCAGCUCUGCCCUACGACUGUCUGUCUUUGUAGGACCAUCUGAGGAGACAGAUGGAGCAAAGAGAAGGAAACGGAAAUAAGAGAGUGGGAGACAGAUGUGAGAUGAGAAGAACUGUUAAGGGUAUGAGAUGGGAACAUUUCUCAGACACAUUACUACUAGACAUGCAUCUUAAAGAAAUCUGCCCGGGGCAAAGCAAGUUGUAAAACCCUUCUUCCAUUAUUCUGUGAGUCACCACAAACACACAUGCUCAUGCACACGCAUGCAGACCAGUGGCGGCUGGUGACGUUUUAAAUCGGAGGACGGGCUCAUUUGUAAUGGUUGGGAUGGAAUAAAUGGAACAUACCAAACACGUUUUAGUACUGAACGAUUUAUUCCGUGCCAGACAUUACUAUAUGUUGUCCUCCGUUCACCAGCCUCCUCUGCCACACGCACGCAUGGUACACUGGCACACACUGGAAUCUAGCCUCUGCAGUGUGGAUCAUAUUUUCAAUAGUUUCUUACUGCACAAAAGACUAGCCAAGAGGGUCCAUUAUCUUGUUACCAAGGCAACUGAUAAAAACAUCCAUUCAAAGCUACCAUUUCAACCCAUGUCACACUAUGUUAUUUUUCUCUCCAUCAGGGUCGUUCUCCUGCUCUCCUCUCAUCCUAACUGUUCUCCAGAUAGUUCACUCUUAACUGUCAAUAAUUAACAUUGCUUGUUCCUAUUCUGUAGUUUUUUUUUUAACAACUUAUGGUUGUUUUGUCAUGUUACUAAAAUUAAAAGAGA